CUGGGCGUAAGGAUGCGUAGGCGGAUGUUUAAGUGAGAUGUGAAAUCCCCGGGCUUAACUUGGGGGCUGCAUUUCAAACUGGAUAUCUAGAGUGCGGGAGAGGAGAAUGGAAUUCCUAGUGUAGCGGUGAAAUGCGUAGAGAUUAGGAAGAACACCAGUGGCGAAGGCGAUUCUCUGGACCGUAACUGACGCUGAGGCAUGAAAGCGUGGGUAGCAAACAGGAUUAGAUACCCUGGUAGUCCACGCUGUAAACGAUGAAUACUAGGUGUGGGAGGUAUCGACUCCUUCCGUGCCGCAGUUAACACAAUAAGUAUUCCGCCUGGGAAGUACGAUCGCAAGAUUAAAACUCAAAGGAAUUGACGGGGGCCCGCACAAGCAGCGGAGCAUGUGGUUUAAUUCGAAGCAACGCGAAGAACCUUACCUGGACUUGACAUCCCCUGAAUUACUCGUAAUGGAGGAAGCUCUUCGGAGCAGGGAGACAGGUGGUGCAUGGUUGUCGUCAGCUCGUGUCGUGAGAUGUUAGGUUAAGUCCUGCAACGAGCGCAACCCUUAUCAUUAGUUGCUACCAUUAAGUUGAGCACUCUAGUGAGACUGCCGUGGUUAACGCGGAGGAAGGUGGGGAUGACGUC
RNAcentral lists this ribosomal RNA (629 nucleotides) under uncultured bacterium. Its description in RNAcentral is "bacterial SSU rRNA". It matches the Rfam family "Bacterial small subunit ribosomal RNA", at positions 554 to 1186 of the family's 1533-position model. The record is from RNAcentral.